RNAcentral lists this small RNA (859 nucleotides) under Aristolochia sp. 2 MR-2013. RNAcentral describes it as "eukaryotic LSU rRNA". The stretch from base 374 to 529 matches the Rfam family "5.8S ribosomal RNA". Lineage: Eukaryota; Viridiplantae; Streptophyta; Magnoliopsida; Piperales; Aristolochiaceae. The record is from RNAcentral.
GAUGACGUCCGAGAAGUCCACUGAACCUUAUCAUUUAAGGAAGGAGAAGUCGUAACAAGGUUUCCGUAGGUGAACCUGCGGAAGGAUCAUUGUCGAUGCCUCGAAAUCAGAACGACCCGUGCGAACUCUGUCCAUCCCAACGUCGACUCGGGUGCGGGGGGUUUGGGGGGGGUGCCAACCCCCCCACCUCCCCCCGGCGCCGGGUCUUCGGUGCGCGAGCGCCGCCGGCUGCGGGGGACCGCGGCCGGAACGAACGAACGAACACCACACGGGGCGCGAUUGGCGCCAAGGAGAACGCGGAAAGAAGGACGCUCGCGGUGCCCCCCCUGCGGAGGUGCUGGUUGGGCGUCCGCUCGAAAUCGUAACGAAACACGACUCUCGGCAACGGAUAUCUUGGCUCUCGCAUCGAUGAAGAACGUAGCGAAAUGCGAUACUUGGUGUGAAUUGCAGAAUCCCGUGAACCAUCGAGUCUUUGAACGCAAGUUGCGCCCGAGGCCACUAGGUCGAGGGCACACCUGCCUGGGCGUCACGCCCUCCCCAUCUCUCCGCCCCCGACCCCCUCGCGCGACCCCUCGAUCGGAGGGUGCGUGGGGGGUGUCCCGCGGUGCGAGCAGGCUGGCCGCCCGUGCCUCCCGGGCGCGGUUGGCUGAAAGCCUUGGCCCGACGGCGGCGUGCGGCACGACAAGUGGUGGCUCGGCCCUCCUAGGCCACGAGUGUCUCGAUGUCGUGUUUGCGGAUUCGCCGCUCGAGGCCGCAGAGGACCCUAACCGUCCGCCUCCCCUCAGGGGAGGCGUCGCUCGGAUUGCGACCCCAGGUCAGGUGGGAUCACCCGCUGAGUUUAAGCAUAUCAAUAAGCGGA